AUAAGAUCCACAGGGCAUUGCAUGUUUUGCAAGUUUCACAGUAGCCAGAGUGAAGAGCUUACAGGCUAUUGGUUCUCAAGGUGCGUGCACAUGACUUUUCAUAGGUUUGGCUGUAAUCAGGGCCGGCGCUUCCUAUAAGGCGACCUAGGCAUAGGAGGGGGCACCCUGCGCCCUCAUCGCCGGCCCUAAUGCUGCAGCCACAUCCAUUUGCAUCCGUUUCCUGUACCCGGCCAGACUGAUAG
Non-coding RNA from Pelobates cultripes (western spadefoot toad), 242 nucleotides. The record is from the annotation of a GenBank genome assembly. NCBI's taxonomy places the organism in Eukaryota, Metazoa, Chordata, Amphibia, Anura, Pelobatidae.